UGGUACCAAAGCCUUCGUUUCCUCGGUAGGAUUGUUCUUGAUUUUGGUAGGAUAGAGUUUAAAUACCUACUGUCCACUGAGAGCCAAAAAGAAAACCUACAGCCCAAAUUCAUAUGUGCUACUGAUUUUGUAGUUUGCUUUAUCGAGUUUUAAUCCUUUAAUAUUUGUCUAGUUGCUGAAUUUUUCUUUUCCACAUUGUUCUAGUUAUUAUCUUUGUUCUAAUCAUCAAAUUGCUUGCUGCAUGUACCCAUCCAUCCCACCCUUGAUCUGAUCAUCAUUGCUUGCUGCGUAUAUAUAAACAAACAAAAAAUACCCACCCAUCCCACCCUUGUUUUCUAACCGCCACAUAUUCCCCACCGCAGUUUCUUGUUUUUGUGCUGCACCAUCCAUCUUAGUGAUCCCCUUUAGUUGAAAGUUGUGCUGUGUUUGACACAGAGGUUAAAAGAAAAGAUGUCUAUGGGUCAAAAGAAGGACUGAAAACGAGUUUUUGUUCCAAAAAAAAAGAGAAAAAAAAAGAAAAGCAAGAAAGAAAAAAAAAGAAAAACAAAAAGAGAACUGUGUGCAGCACACCAAAAAGGCGUGAGCAUAUCAGAGUACAAACAGGUGCGUCAAAAAUGGUUUCUUAGACUAUGGUGUAUUAGGCACAAACUAUGCACCUAUCUGCAUCGAAACUAACAUUGUCUCCAAACAAAGCGAAGCGAGAUUCCAUGUGACACACGUCAUCUAGGAGUUCCAUUGGGUGCGUCCAAAUUGAUUUCUUAACAUAUGGUACGUUCCAUUCAAACUGUGCAACUAUCUUGCAUCAAGAUUAGCACUAUAUCCGAACAGACCAAAUCGAGCCUCCACUUGAGCCUCUUCAACUAUGAGUACCAUCGAGUGUGUCUAAUAUAGUUUCUUAGCUUAUGGUGCAUUAGGCGUAAACCAUGCACAUAUCUUCUACCAAAACUAACAGUCUCUAAACGAACCGAAGCAAGAUUCCAAAUGACACACAUCAUCAAGGAGUUAUAUCAGGUGCGUCCUAAUUGAUUUCUGAGCAUAUCGUAUGUUCCAUGCAAACCGUGCAUCUAUCUUGCAUCAAGAUUAGCACUAUCUCCAAACAGACCAAACCGAGCUUUCACUUUAGCCCCUUGACCUAGGAGUACCAUCGGGUGCGUCCAAAACGGUUUCUUAUCCUAUGGUGCAUUAGGUGCAAACCGUGCACCUAUCUUGCACUGAAACUAACACUGUCUCUAAACGGACCGAAGUGAGAUUCCAUACGACACAUGUCAUCUAGGAGUUCCAUCUGGUGCGUCCAAAUUAAUUUCUGAGCAUAUGGUAUGUUCCAUGCAAAUCGUGCACCUAUCUUGCAUCAAGAUUAGCACUAUCUCUAAACAGACCAAACCGAGCCUCCACUUGAGCCUCUUCACCUAGGAGUACCAAUAGGUGCUUCCAAAAUGGUUUCUUAGACUUUGGUGCAUUAGGCGCAAACCGUGCACAUAUCUUGCACCGAAACUAAUACUAUCUCUAAGCACACCAAAGCGAGAUUCCAUAUGACACACGUCAUCAAAGAGUUCUAUCGGGUGUGUCCAAAUUAAUUUCUAAGCAUAUGGUUCGUUCCAUGCAGACCAUGCAUCUAUCUUGCAUCAAGAUUAGCACUAUCUCCAAAUAGAUCGAACCGACCAUCCACUUGAGCCCCUUCACCUCGAAGUACCAACAAGUGCGUCCAAAAUGGUUUCUUAGACUAUGGUGCAUUAGGUGCAAACUGUGCACCUAUCUUGCACCAAAACUAACAAUAUCUCCAAGUGGACUGAAGCAAGAUUCCUUGUGACACACGUCAUCAAGGAGGUCCAUCGGGUGCAUCCAAAUUGAUUUCCAAGCAUAUGGUAUGUUCCAUGCAAAGCAUGCACCUACCUUGCAUAAGUAUUAGCACUAUCUCCAAACUGACCGAACCAAGCUUCCACUUGGGCCUCUUCAUCCAAGAGUACCAAAUAGUGCGUCCAAAAUGGUUUCUUAGACUAUGGUGCAUUAGGCGCAAACUGUGCACCUAUCUUGCACUAAAACUUGCAAUGUCUACAAACGGACAAAAGCAAGAUUCCAUAUGACACACGUCAUCUAGGAGUUCCAUUGGGUGCGUCCAAAUUGAUUUUUAAGCAUAUGGUAUGUUCCUUGCAAAUCAUGCACCUAUCUUGCAUCAAGAUUAGCACUAUCUCCAAACAGAUCAAAUCGAGCUUCCACUUGAGCCUCUUCACCGAAGUACCAACAGUUGCUUACAAAAUGGUUUCUUAGACUAUGGUGCAGUAGGCAAAAACCAUGCACAUAUCUUGCACCGAAACUAACACUGUUUCUAAACAGACCAAAGCGAGAUUCCAUAUGACACACGUCAUCAAGGAGUGUCAUCGGGUGCAUCCACAUUGAUUUCCAAGCAUAUUGUAUGUUCCAUGCAAACCGUGCACCUAUCUUGCAUCAAGAUUAGCACUAUCUCCAAACAGACCGAACCGAGCUUCCACUUGAGCCUCUUCAUCUAGGAGUACAAACAGUUGCUUCAAAAAUGGUUUCUUAGACUAUGGUGCAUUAGGCACAAACUAUGCACCUAUCUUGCACCGAAACUAACAUUGUCACCAAACAGACCGAAGCGAGAUUCCAUAUGACACACGUCAUCUAGGAGUUCCAUUGGGUGCGUCCAAAUUGAUUUCUUACCAUAUGGUAUGUUCUAUGCAUACUGUGCAACUAUCUUGCAUCAAGAUUAGCACUGUAUCCAAACAGACCAAAUCGAGCCUCCACGUGAGCCUCUUCAACUAUGAGUACCAUCGGGUGCGUCUAAAAUGGUUUCUUAGCCUAUGGUGCAAUAGGCGUAAACCGUGCACAUAUCUUCUACCAAAACUAACACUGUCUCUAAACGAACCGAAGCAAGAUUCCAUAUGACACACAUCAUCAAGGAGUUAUAUCAGGUGCGUCCUAAUUGAUUUCUGAGCAUAUCAUAUGUUCCAUGCAAACUGUGCAUCUAUCUUGCAUCAAGAUUUGCACUAUCUGCAAUCAGACUAAACCGAGCUUUCACUUGAGCCCCUUGACCUAGGAGUACCAUUGGGUGCGUCCAAAAUGGUUUCUUAUCCUAUGGUGCAUUAGGUGCAAACCGGUUACCUAUCUUGCACCGAAACUAACAUUGUCUCUAAAUGGACCGAAAUGAGAUUCCAUAUGACAUGUCAUCUAGAAGUUCCAUCUGGUGCGUCCAAAUUGAUUUCUGAGCAUAUGGUAUGUUCCUUGCAAAUCGUGCACCUAUAUUGCAUCAAGAUUAGCACUAUCUCUAAACAGACCGAACCGAGCCUCCACUUGAGCCUCUUCACCUAGGAGUACCAACUGGUGCUUCCAAAAUGGUUUCUUAGACUUUGGUGCAUUAGGCGCAAACCGUGCACAUAUCUUGCAACAAAACUAACACUAUCUCCAAGCACACCAAAGCGAGAUUCCAUAUGACACACGUCAUCAAGAAGUUCUAUCGGGUGUGUCCAAAUUAAAUUCUAAGCAUAUGGUACGUUCCAUGUAGACCGUGCAUCUAUCUUGCAUCAAGAUUAGCACUAUCUACAAAUAGACCAAACCAAGCUUUCAUUUGAGCCGUUUACCUAGGAGUACCAUGGGUGCGUACGAAAUUGUUUCUUAGCCUAUGCUGCAUUAUGUGCAAACCUUGCACCUAUCUUGCACCGAAACUAACACUAUUUCCAGACACACCGUAGCAAUAAUCCGUAUGACACACUUCAUCUAGGAGUUCCAUCAUGUGCGUCCAGAUUGUUUUCCAAGCAUUUGGUAUGUUUCAUGCACCUACCUUGCAUCAAGAUUAGCACUAUCUCCAAACAGACCGAACCAAGCAUCCACUUGAGCCCCUUCACCUAGGAGUACCAACAAGUGCGUCCAAAAUGGUUUCUUAGACUAUGGUGCAUUAGGUGCAAACUGUGCACCUAACUUGCACCAAAACUAACAUUGUCUCUAAACAGACCGAAGCGAGAUUCCAUAUGACACACGUCAUCAAGGAGUUCCAUCGGGUGCAUCGAAAUUGAUUUCCAAGCAUAUGGUAUGUUCCAUGCAAAUCAUGCACCUACCUUGCAUAAGGAUUAGCACUAUCUCCAAACUGACCGGACCAAGCUUCCACUUGAGCCUCUUCAUCCAGGAGUACCAAAUAGUGCGUCCAAAAUGGUUUCUUAGACUAUGGUGCAUUAGGCGUAAACUGUGCACCUAUGUUGCACUAAAACUUACAAUGUCUACAAACGAACCGAAGUAAGAUUCCAUAUGACACACAUCAUUAAGGAGUUCUAUCAGGUGUGUCCAAAUUAAUUUCUAAGCAUAUGGUAUGUUCCAUGCAGACCGUGCACCUAUCUUGCAUCAAGAUUAGCACUAUCUCCAAACAGAUCAAACCGAGCUUCCACUUGAGCCUCUUCACCGAACUACCAAUAGGUGCUUCUAAAAUGGUUUCCUAGACUAUGGUGCAUUAGGCGCAAACCAUGCACAUAUCUUGCACCAAACUAACACUAUUUCUAAAUAGACCAAAGCGAGAUUCCAUAUGACACACGUCAUCAAGGAGUUCCAUCGGGUCCAUCCAAAUUGAUUUCCAAGCAUAUGGUAUGUUCCAUGCAAACCGUGCACCUAUCUUGCAUCAAGAUUAGCACUAUCUCCAAACAGACUGAACCGAGCUUCCACUUGAGCCACUUCAUCUAGGAGUACAAACAGGUGCGUCAAAAAUGGUUUCUUAGACUAUGGGGCAUUAGGCACAAACUAUGCACCUAUCUUGCACCGAAACUAACAUUGUCACCAAACAGACCGAAGCGAGAUUCCAUAUGACACACGUCAUCUAGGAGUUCAAUUGGGUGCGUCCAAAUUGAUUUCUUAACAUAUGGUACGUUCUAUGCAAACUGUGCAACUAUCUUGCAUCAAGAUUAGCACUAUAUCCGAACAGACCAAAUCGAGCCUCCACAUGAGCCUCUUCAACUAUGAGUACCAUCGGGUGCGUCUAAAAUGGUUUCUUAGCCUAUGGUGCAUUAGGCAUAAACCGUGCACAUAUCUUCUACCAAAACUAACACUGUCUCUAAACGAACCGAAGCAAGAUUCCAUAUGACACACAUCAUCAAGGAGUUAUAUCAGGUGCGUCCUAAUUGAUUUCUGAGCAUAUCAUAUGUUCCAUGCAAACCGUGCAUCUAUCUUGCAUCAAGAUUUGCACUAUCUCCAAUCAGACUAAACCGAGCUUUCACUUGGGCCCCUUGACCUAGGAGUACCAUCGGGUGCGUCCAAAAUGGUUUCUUAUCCUAUGGUGCAUUAGGUGCAAACCGGUUACCUAUCUUGCACCGAAACUAACAUUGUCUCUAAACAGACCAAAAUGAGAUUCUAUAUGACAUGUCAUCUAGAAGUUCCAUCUGGAGCGUCCAAAUUGAUUUCUGAGCAUAUGGUAUGUUCCAUGCAAAUCGUGCACCUAUCUUGCAUCAAGAUUAGCACUAUCUCCAAACAGACCGAACCGAGCCUCCACUUGAGCCUCUUCACCUAGGAGUACCAACAGGUGCUUCCAAAAUGGUUUCUUAGACUUCGGUGCAUUAGGCGCAAACCGUGCACAUAUGUUGCACCAAAACUAACACUGUCUCCAAGCACACCAAACCGAGAUUCCAUAUGACACACGUCAUCAAGGAGUUCUACCGGGUGUGUCCAAAUUAAUUUCUAAGCAUAUGGUACGUUCCAUGGAGACCGUGCAUCUAUCUUGCAUCAAGAUUAGCACUAUCUACAAAUAGACCAAACCGAGCUUUCACUUGAGCCUUUUACCUGGGAGUACCAUCGGGUGCGUCCGAAAUGGUUUCUUAGCAUAUGCUGCAUUAUGUGCAAACCUUGCACCUAUCUUGCACCGAAACUAACACUGUUUCCAAACAGACUGAAACAAGUUCCGUAUGACACACUUCAUCUAGGAGUUCCAUCAUGUGCGUCCAGAUUGUUUUCCAAGCAUUUGGUAUGUUUCAUGCACCUACCUUGCAUCAAGAUUAGCACUACCUCCAAACCGACCAAACCAAGCAUCCACUUGAGCCCCUUCACCUAGGAGUACCAACAAGUGAGUCCAAAAUGGUUUUUUAGACUAUGGUGCAUUAGGUGCAAACUGUGCACCUAUCUUGCACCAAAACUAACAUUGUCUCUAAACAGACCGAAGCGAGAUUCCAUAUGACACACGUCAUCAAGGAGUUCCAUCGGGUGCAUCAAAAUUAAUUUCCAAGCAUAUGGUAUGUUCCAUGCAAAUCAUGCACCUACCUUGCAUAAGGAUUAGCACUAUCUCCAAACUGACCGAACCAAGCUUCCACUUGAGCCUGUUCAUCCAGGAGUACCAAAUAGUGCGUCCAAAAUGGUUUCUUGGACUUUGGUGCAUUAGGCGCAAACUGUGCACCUAUCUUGCACUAAAACUUACAAUGUCUACAAACGAACCGAAGCAAGAUUCCAUAUGACACACGUCAUCAAGGAGUUCUAUCGGGUGUGUCCAAAUUAAUUUCUAAGCAUAUGGUAUGUUCUAUGCAGACUGUGCACCUAUCUUGCAUCAAGAUUAGCACUAUCUCCCAAC
RNAcentral lists this long non-coding RNA (6547 nucleotides) under Sorghum bicolor (sorghum). RNAcentral's name for it is "long non-coding RNA (SBIC_LNC018586)". Lineage: Eukaryota; Viridiplantae; Streptophyta; Magnoliopsida; Poales; Poaceae. The record is from RNAcentral.